Molecule: ribosomal RNA, 665 nt
Filed under: uncultured bacterium
Lineage: Bacteria
Description: partial 16S ribosomal RNA
Source: RNAcentral
GCACCUUCCGAUACGGCUACCUUGUUACGACUUUACCCCAGUCAUGAACCCUGCCGUGGCAGUCGCCCUCCUUGCGGUUAGGCUAACGGCUUCUGGCAAAACCCACUCCCAUGGUAUGACGGGCGGUGUGUACAAGACCCGGGAACGUAUUCACCGCGACAUUCUGAUCCGCGAUUACUAGCGAUUCCAGCUUCACGUAGUCGAGUUGCAGACUACGAUCCGGACUACGAUGCAUUUUCUGAGAUUAGCUCCCCCUCGCGGGUUGGCAACCCUCUGUAUGCACCAUUGUAUGACGUGUGAAGCCCUACCCAUAAGGGCCAUGAGGACUUGACGUCAUCCCCACCUUCCUCCGGUUUGUCACCGGCAGUCUCUUUAGAGUGCUCUUGCGUAGCAACUAAAGACAAGGGUUGCGCUCGUUGCGGGACUUAACCCAACAUCUCACGACACGAGCUGACGACAGCCAUGCAGCACCUGUGUUCACUUUCCCUUACGGGCACCUAAUGUAUCUCUACUUCGUUAGUGACAUGUCAAGGGUAGGUAAGGUUUUUCGCGUUGCAUCGAAUUAAUCCACAUCAUCCACCGCUUGUGCGGGUCCCCGUCAAUUCCUUUGAGUUUUAAUCUUGCGACCGUACUCCCCAGGCGGCUGACUUCACGCGUUAGCUACG